GAAAAGAACUUUGAAGAGAGAGUUCAAUAGUACGUGAAACCGUUCAGAGGUAAACGGACAGGGCCGCAAAGUCCGUUGUACGAAUUCAACCGACAUGUGAACGGCUUUGUAUUGAAGGGCAUUCGCCUAGCGGAGACUUUUGGUGCGAGGCAUAACGAUCACGGUUGGUGCACUUUCGUGUAAUGGAGCGCCGCGACCGGUUAAUUGGUGGUAAGAAACUCCAAGGUUAGGUGACAUCUUCUCGUUAGAGUUGGUGAGUUAUAAACCUGGAUGCUAAUUGCCCAUCAAGAGACCGAGGAAGACCGAGCUCAGGUGCUUUUGCCUUUGGACUUUGACUAAACGUUCGACUGAGGAUCACUGCAUAAGCAGUGUUUUUUGACCGCGUCUGGUUAUUCGUUUAAAGUGUCGAUAGGCAUUCCGAGGGGUCUGCGGCGAUUCGGUCGGUAGCCUGUCUGACCCGUCUUGAAACACGGACCAAGGAGUCUAACACGUGCGCGAGUCUCAGGGUCGUACGAAACCCGUUGGACGCAAUGAAAGUGAAAACGGCCGCGAGGUCUGUUUAGGUGGGAUCCCGAAACCGGAGACGGUGACGGGCGCACCACCGGCCCGUUUCAUCCGCUACGUCGGUGGGGCGGAGCAAGAGUGUACGCGUUGG
Molecule: ribosomal RNA, 655 nt
Filed under: Trachelobdellina glabra
Lineage: Eukaryota; Metazoa; Annelida; Clitellata; Hirudinida; Piscicolidae
Description: partial 28S large subunit ribosomal RNA
Rfam family: Eukaryotic large subunit ribosomal RNA
Source: RNAcentral